GAUGAACGCUGGCGGCGUGCCUAAUACAUGCAAGUCGAGCGAACGGACGAGAAGCUUGCUUCUCUGAUGUUAGCGGCGGACGGGUGAGUAACACGUGGAUAACCUACCUAUAAGACUGGGAUAACUUCGGGAAACCGGAGCUAAUACCGGAUAAUAUUUUGAACCGCAUGGUUCAAAAGUGAAAGACGGUCUUGCUGUCACUUAUAGAUGGAUCCGCGCUGCAUUAGCUAGUUGGUAAGGUAACGGCUUACCAAGGCAACGAUGCAUAGCCGACCUGAGAGGGUGAUCGGCCACACUGGAACUGAGACACGGUCCAGACUCCUACGGGAGGCAGCAGUAGGGAAUCUUCCGCAAUGGGCGAAAGCCUGACGGAGCAACGCCGCGUGAGUGAUGAAGGUCUUCGGAUCGUAAAACUCUGUUAUUAGGGAAGAACAAAUGUGUAAGUAACUAUGCACGUCUUGACGGUACCUAAUCAGAAAGCCACGGCUAACUACGUGCCAGCAGCCGCGGUAAUACGUAGGUGGCAAGCGUUAUCCGGAAUUAUUGGGCGUAAAGCGCGCGUAGGCGGUUUUUUAAGUCUGAUGUGAAAGCCCACGGCUCAACCGUGGAGGGUCAUUGGAAACUGGAAAACUUGAGUGCAGAAGAGGAAAGUGGAAUUCCAUGUGUAGCGGUGAAAUGCGCAGAGAUAUGGAGGAACACCAGUGGCGAAGGCGACUUUCUGGUCUGUAACUGACGCUGAUGUGCGAAAGCGUGGGGAUCAAACAGGAUUAGAUACCCUGGUAGUCCACGCCGUAAACGAUGAGUGCUAAGUGUUAGGGGGUUUCCGCCCCUUAGUGCUGCAGCUAACGCAUUAAGCACUCCGCCUGGGGAGUACGACCGCAAGGUUGAAACUCAAAGGAAUUGACGGGGACCCGCACAAGCGGUGGAGCAUGUGGUUUAAUUCGAAGCAACGCGAAGAACCUUACCAAAUCUUGACAUCCUCUGACCCCUCUAGAGAUAGAGUUUUCCCCUUCGGGGGACAGAGUGACAGGUGGUGCAUGGUUGUCGUCAGCUCGUGUCGUGAGAUGUUGGGUUAAGUCCCGCAACGAGCGCAACCCUUAAGCUUAGUUGCCAUCAUUAAGUUGGGCACUCUAAGUUGACUGCCGGUGACAAACCGGAGGAAGGUGGGGAUGACGUCAAAUCAUCAUGCCCCUUAUGAUUUGGGCUACACACGUGCUACAAUGGACAAUACAAAGGGCAGCGAAACCGCGAGGUCAAGCAAAUCCCAUAAAGUUGUUCUCAGUUCGGAUUGUAGUCUGCAACUCGACUAUAUGAAGCUGGAAUCGCUAGUAAUCGUAGAUCAGCAUGCUACGGUGAAUACGUUCCCGGGUCU
Molecule: ribosomal RNA, 1372 nt
Filed under: uncultured bacterium
Lineage: Bacteria
Description: bacterial SSU rRNA
Rfam family: Bacterial small subunit ribosomal RNA
Source: RNAcentral